UACGUAGGGUGCAAGCGUUGUCCGGAAUUAUUGGGCGUAAAGAGCUCGUAGGCGGUCUGUCGCGUCUGCUGUGAAAACUCAGGGCUUAACCCUGAGCUUGCAGUGGGUACGGGCAGACUAGAGUGCGGUAGGGGAGACUGGAAUUCCUGGUGUAGCGGUGAAAUGCGUAGAUAUCUGGAGGAACACCGGUGGCGAAGGCGGCAUCCUGGACCGGUAUUGACGCUGAGGCGCGAAAGCCAGGGGAGCAAACGGG
Molecule: ribosomal RNA, 253 nt
Filed under: uncultured bacterium
Lineage: Bacteria
Description: partial 16S ribosomal RNA
Rfam family: Bacterial small subunit ribosomal RNA
Source: RNAcentral